UAAGCUUCGGGUAGGUGCAAAUAACCCUUGAUCCGGAGAUUUCCGAAUGGGACAACCUAGCCGUCUGAAGGACGGUUACUAGCACUUAAGUGUUAGAGCUAACGCAGGGAACUGAAACAUCUUAGUACCUGCAGGAAGAGAAAAUAAAUGAAUGAUUCCCCCAGUAGUGGCGAGCGAACGGGGAACAGCCCAAACCAGUGGCGUCGCAAGGCGUGGCUGGGGUUGUAGGACCGCAACAUUGUAUGCAAAUCGUGAACAGAACACUUUGGAAAAUGUGACCAUAGACGGUGAUAGUCCAGUAUGUGAAGCGAAAUG
Molecule: ribosomal RNA, 315 nt
Filed under: Segatella copri
Lineage: Bacteria; Pseudomonadati; Bacteroidota; Bacteroidia; Bacteroidales; Prevotellaceae
Description: partial 23S ribosomal RNA
Rfam family: Bacterial large subunit ribosomal RNA
Source: RNAcentral